This 134-nucleotide small nucleolar RNA is filed under the name Zosterops lateralis melanops. RNAcentral describes it as "Small nucleolar RNA SNORA5 (ENSZLMG00000008583.1)". It matches the Rfam family "Small nucleolar RNA SNORA5". From Rfam's summary of the family: ACA5 is a member of the H/ACA class of snoRNA that guide the sites of modification of uridines to pseudouridines. Lineage: Eukaryota; Metazoa; Chordata; Aves; Passeriformes; Zosteropidae. The record is from Rfam by way of RNAcentral.
UGCAGCCCAGUCAAAUUCGGUCCCUGUCCCCCCAUGGCGGGGACCGGCCACCGGCUGCCACAGUGACCCCCGUGCUCCAAAUGUCCCCUGUCCCCUCCCGUGGGACCUGGGGAGGAGGAUCCCCACGGACACAC